AUUAAACGCUGGCGGCAUGCCUUACACAUGCAAGUCGAACGGUAGCGCGGGGCAACCUGGCGACGAGUGGCGAACGGGUGAGUAAAGCAUCGGAACGUGCCCUGGAAUGGGGGAUAACGUAGCGAAAGUUACGCUAAUACCGCAUAUUCUGUGAGCAGGAAAGCAGGGAAUCGCAAGACCUUGCGUUCUGGGAGCGGCCGAUGUCGGAUUAGCUAGUUGGUGGGGUAAAAGCCUACCAAGGCGACGAUCCGUAGCGGGUCUGAGAGGAUGAUCCGCCACACUGGGACUGAGACACGGCCCAGACUCCUACGGGAGGCAGCAGUGGGGAAUUUUGGACAAUGGGCGGAAGCCUGAUCCAGCCAUGCCGCGUGAGUGAAGAAGGCCUUCGGGUUGUUAAAGG
RNAcentral lists this ribosomal RNA (400 nucleotides) under uncultured bacterium. Its description in RNAcentral is "bacterial SSU rRNA". It matches the Rfam family "Bacterial small subunit ribosomal RNA", at positions 29 to 432 of the family's 1533-position model. The record is from RNAcentral.